Molecule: long non-coding RNA, 12681 nt
Filed under: Triticum aestivum (bread wheat)
Lineage: Eukaryota; Viridiplantae; Streptophyta; Magnoliopsida; Poales; Poaceae
Description: long non-coding RNA (TAES_LNC005685)
Source: RNAcentral
UUUUCUUUUGUGUUGAGUCAUAGGAACCACCGUACUGUUAAGUAGGGUCCAAGAGAACCAGCCAGACUGACUGAAGUGAUGCCUAACCAAAAACCUAUGUCUUCGAGUGAAGACUAUGAGAGCGAAUCUUGUCCAGAGUCGGACAAGUCAGCUUUGCUUGUAGCCCAAGUAAAGUUGCCGUGUGAGUUUGAAAUCUGACCGUUGGAACACGUGUUAGUUCCUUAGUGACCCAGGGUCAUUUCGGACAAAUCAGGUCGGGUUGCCAAGUGGCUAUAAAUAGCCCACCCCCCACAACCAUAAACGGUUGGCUGCUCAGAUUGAGAUGCUCAGAUUGAGAGUACGGCUUUUGUCGUUUGAGAGCAACCCACCUCGAAGCCUUUGAGAGAGAAUUCCUUGCGAGGAUAAAGCCCUAACCACCCAGAGCCAGAGAGAAUUAGGCAUCACUUAAGUCUUCUUCUCUGUGUGAUCUGAAGACUUAUUACACUUGAGGAUUGUGCAUCCUCCAGCCGGUUAGGCGUCGCGUUCUGAGCAUCCAAGAGACAUUGUGGAUUGCCGGUGAACGAAGUCUGUGAAGGUUUGGGAGUCUACCUUGAAGACUUACCAGAGUGAUUGGGCGAGGUCUGUGUGACCUUAGCUCAAGGGGAAUACGGUGAGGACUGGGUGUCCUGAGCUGCGUGUUCAGGACUGGGUGUCCGGGACUGUGUGUCCUAAGGUUUAAAUACCUAGCGGCCCCAAUCAGACGUACAGUUGUCACAGCAACUGGAACUGGUCCAACAAAUCAUUGUUUUCAACGAGUCACUGGUUUCAUCUUCCCUUCCCUUUACUUACUGUUGCUCCUUGUGAAGUCAUUGUAUGUUUGCACUAUCUUUUGUCUUCACUGAGUGACUGCAUGCUCUGUAUGGCUUCAUAAUAUCUUCCUACCUGAUCCUUACUACAUUGCUGCUAUUAAGUCAUUGUGCUUUCACUUCAUUAAACACUUGACUAUGGCUUGCCUAGUGUAGUCUACCUUCCGCUGCAUGGUAAUAGGUUUAUUUCUAUCGUUUGUCUUCAUAACUUCCACGUUUUGAAGACUUUCAUAAAAAUCGCCUAUUCACCCCCCUCUAGUCGAUAUAACGCACUUUCAACACUGUCAACAGGGGCAAUUCCUGUAACUAUACCUACAAAUGAAGACAGUACAGGUGCAGCAAAAUGAUCUCCGUCCUGUUCUCUGAUGCACAAAUUACUUUAUUUUGAAGAAGAUACAUUUGACUCAUGAAUAUGAUUUGCUCAGGAGCUGUGGAUCCAGCGCCUCAUGUAUCGCCUGCCAACACACUAACAACAGGUACAAAAAAUGAAAAAACCCCACACAUUACAAACAUAUGCUGUUCUAUGCAUGUAACUGACCAAAUGUACUAUGCACACAGCUCCAGGUAUCAAUAACCAUGGAGAUCGUGGCCCACAUCCGACAGAUCAAGAUGUAAUCCCAGCCCCAGAGUAUGGAAGUGGCACACAAGUGAGUGGUGGUACGAGGCCACGCCUAACUCGCGAAGAGUUGGGCAAGCUGCCAAUGGAUGAAGUAUGUUGUGAACCACCAGCAUCUAAGAUAACCGGAAAUGAGGAUUAGAUAGAAAGAGACGGCAUGCUGGCAUGGGAGAUGCACCGUAAGUAGACACGGGGACAAAAACUAAAAAAAUGAAAACCUACAAUCAAAAUGCUUACAAUUAAUAUGCUGACUGCUUUAAAUCUUGCUGUACCUGUCAGGCGCUGAAUUGGAGGCUAAAUAUCCUUUAUCACGCGGAGGGGGUGGCGUUGGGAUUACCAAUCAAUCAGGUAAUUUUGUUUGCCAUGAUUGAAAAAGUUGUUGCUUCCAUUACCAAUACAAGUGUUCAAAUAAUAACAAAAACUGAUCCCGCUGAUACAGGCAGAGACAAAAACAGAGGUUUAUUUGCUCGGUUUCAGAGAGGGGGGCGAAGUUUAUCACUAAUCAACAAUAUUAUUGGAGGCUUGUCCAUGCCUACGCUAACAACAAGCCCUGAUGCAGUUGUAACAGCAGAAGCGGUUGACCUAAUCCAACAGCCUGUUCCAUCGGUAAAAGCUGAGCACACCGGAGAUAGGGUCCUAUUUGAACCACCAAUGGCAGGAACUGCUCCAGGUUCCGCAACGAUUGCCUUUUAGAUGACACUAUAUUUGCAUUACAUUUUAGAGCCCCAAACUUUGACUUAUUUGUAAUUAUCCUAUUUUCUGUAUGUAGUUGGAAUUCUGCCAGGACAUGUGCACAAUGACGUGUCGACAGGGCACGAUCCUACUCCACGAGGUACUACGUUCAAUUAUCAGCAUAAAUUAUAUUGUAUAUUUUCCAAGGUUGACCCUCGAGAAAAAGAACUAAAAGGUGUUCUUGCUUGUUUGUAAUGUUGGCAUGCGAUCAAGUGGCUGACACUGACGAUGCUUACGCGUUACGCCUACAAGCUGAAGAAUAUGUUGUUGAUAGUGAGUUCCUGACACUUCCGCAUAGUGGUGUCACAGAAAAGAUUUUGUACUACAUACUAACAUUUAAUCAUGAAUGGAACAGUUACAUCUACAGUAGCUAACGCGGGGGGAUUGGAACAAAAUGCCAAUGUACUUUCAGAACAAAUAGGAUCUCCAAUUCGUAAGUGUGGUGCUGAUAUCUUUCCUGAACAGUGAGAAUUCAUAAAAUCCUUAAGCUUUCAUAUAAACAUAAUGACAUAUUCUUUUUGAUACAGACAACAAUGAAUAUGAAGGAGAAGAGCCAUUCAUUGAUGACUCAACAAGUGGAGACGCGUUUGGUUCAUACUCUGAUAGUCCUUCACGCGGUGACGAUUUCGAUUGGGAUGCAUACGUGGAGGAUUUGGAGUCGAACCUGCAGCAUGAGCAAACCCAACAAGAGACAGCUGACCACAGAUUGGCUGAAAAUCUCCAGGCGUUGUAUGAGGGGAACGGUUUGUGCCUCGCAUCCAUGACCAGCUUCUACUUGUGACCCCAUUUGUAAGUAAAAAAGCUCAUGGUGAUACCCCCUGGGUUUUUCCUCAGCUGUCGCAGCCGACGGCGUCAACAACGCCACUACUCCAGCUGGUGAUGUUCUACAAACUGAAGCACAUAAUGAAAUAAAUGCUCCAGCGGUAACAACCAGGCGUUGGCUUACUGUUGUUGAUGGUACGUACUCACUACAUAUGGAACUGAAAACAAUCUAAUGCAUGCCUCAUCAUCCAAGAACACUAACAAUGAACUUCUGUGUGGCAGGAAUAGUGGCAGUGGGGUCAAGUCCAAGCGAUGGACAAAGCAUCAUAGAACAUGAAGGCGCCGGUGACGGGACCGAAACAAAUGAAGAAGAAAGGCACAAUAAUAGUGAUUGCUACUUGAAACCUAUAGUGUAUGUACAUUACAAGUAGCUCCACUCAUACUGAUUCCCAUUAAAGCAAAUUCCAUCUCGUGUUUUCAGUGAACAACAGCUCUAUACCUAUGAGUAGCACUCCUGUGCCAGGAGGCGCAACACAUGAUGUUGUUCCAACCAUCAGCCUAGAGUAUGUCCUGGAGCGCAGUGCUGAAGAGAACAGAGCUAGCUAUUUGCCCAGAAGGAUGGCCACUUUCGAUGAACACUUGGAGCACACCCACCAACAACGCAGGGGGACAGGUGAUGAGGCGAUUGCUAAUGACGGAGGUGUGCUGCUGUUGGGACGGCACGCUACACACCAUGCAGCAUUAGCACGGAAUGUGAUCCCCUCAGGUUUGGUAGCAUUCUCUUUACAAAAGUGUUGCUAUGUUGAUUCAACAUGCAUUACUCAGCGGUCUUCUGGCCUGUAAUCUAACAUUCAACUAACUCGUGGAUGCCAAAAAUGCAGUCCGUGAACGAGGAGAGAGCUCAGCUGGUCCAAUGCAUCAUCAACCAAGAAGAUGGGACGAUGGUAACUAUAACACCUCAGCUAUACUAUUUUCUUUUGCGAAUAAAAGUGUCCCCGCUGAUUUUGAUGAUGAAUGCGGAACAGGGGUGCAAGCAAUGAAUGCUGAACUUAACAGAGGCCAAGAUCCCCCAAACGUUAGAAUUCAGUGGGGUGAAAGAUUCCCAAGGCACGUCGGCUUGUCACAUGACGAGCCACCCCCACAAUCUGUCCUGCGCUUCUAUGAUGAAAUGUUGACAGGGAGCGACAUGAAUCUUUCAAGGUAAAAAAUCUCUAUACCUAUAAUACCCUAAAACGAAUGAACAACUAGGCUUGUAGUUCUAAAUUUUGCAAGGAACAAACAACCAGAAAUCUAUCUCAUUGUUUGUGAAAGAGAGAAGUCCACAUUUCAACCUCGAACUAGCCACUCGGUUUGAUUUGCAACCCCCAACUUUGAAACCGGUCGAAAUACACCCCAAACUAACCACGAGGUCCAAAACACAACCCUAGUCUCGGUUUUGUGUCUGCCAAGCGGUUUUGACCGAAGUCAACGCUGACUGGACUGCUGACUAGGCACCCAGGAAAUAAAAAAACAAGAACCAAACUCUACCCCCUCUUCUAUCUCUCUCUGCCGAUGAGUAAAAGGAUGCAUGCAGCCGCCGCAGCUCGUUCUCUCUAUCUCUGUUCAUCGCCCAGCCACCCCUGCCUCUGUCUGCCGUCGGCGGCAGCCUACAUCACCUGCAACCUGCAACCGGAACAGCUGCUCUAGCUGCUCGCAAACAACCAGUCCGCGGCGCCUAGGCAGCACCGAUGCAGUACCUCCGUCCGUCGCCGUCGCCAGACAACACCAACUGCAGCCUCUAGCUGGAAGCCUGGAACAGCCGUUCCGGGCCGCCGUCGCCUGUAUAGGAAGAUGACGACCGGGAGGAUACUAUGCUCUCUGCCGCCGCCUCGCUGCGUCAACUCCGGCGAGAGAUUGCCGCCUGAGGAGAUGGAAACCGGUGCCUCCGAGCACGAUUGUACGGUUGCCUCGCCACUACGAACCUCCCGCGCCAUCCCACGGAAGAAGACGACCAAGGAAACACCGAUCCUGACGAGAACCGCACUGCCCUGUCAUCUUCGUCAACUCCGGCGAGCCCUCAUGGACGGGAUCUCCUCGGAUGGACCUCGAAGAUCCGGACAAGCCUGUCGUCCGGUACUGGCUGAAGGGUGCCGACGCCGUUGACCUCGCCCCCGAGCUGCUUCAAGUUGGCGGCGCUGCUGCAUGGUCGGGAAAGGGGCACUGCGUGAUGGACGGCGGGGAGUGGUCGGGGAGGGGCGUCAGCGGAGCUCGGGACGGCAGUGUUGGAACCGGUCUUUCAGGUAGUAGUGCAUGCACAAACGUGCGUGCUGUUGCUGUGCCAACGCCCACGAUCUGCAUGCUACUACUCAUUUCUAGGGGUGGUUAGCCUGUGCAUAGCUAAGUUAGUUAAGAUAGCUGUGUACCGUGUGUAAUCUCUGCACUGAGUGAAUCAAUACAGUUGUCCUCACUUCACUUUCUACAGGCAGCGGCAACAGUAGCAAGGACCGAGUCCAGCAAGGCACGGGCAUCCAGUACCCGGCGGCGGAGAGAGAGAGAGAGGGGUAGGAGUGAGAGAGAAGUUUUUUUUAAAAAAUUUCCUGGGUGCCUAAUCAGCAGUCCAGUCAGCUUUGACUUUGGUCAAAACCGCUUGACCGACACAAAACCGAGACCAGGGUUGAGUUUUGGACCUCAUAGUUAGUUCGGGGUGUAUUUCUACCGGUUUCGUAGUUCAGGGUUGUAAAUCAAACCGAGUGGUUAGUUCGAGGUUGAAAAGUGGACUUCUCUCUUUGUGAAACAUUUUGCAGGAAGUGGUUCCGUCACUUUGUGUUCCGUGUUGCGGUGAUGUCUGGGCACGACAUACAACAAGAAUUCAGGCAUGGGGGCAAGAUAAGCCGUGUGGGAUGGAGGUGCAUCUACAAGAUGCUCUCAGAGAAGGAGCGCAGGAUGUACAAGGACUGGCUGGACCGAUGGAGGGUUUUCUUCGACCCAGUGUUUGCGGUGAGACAAAAACAGGAUUUUAAAACAUCCUUUGAGCAAAACUCUAAUGGGUCCAGCAUGCAUAUGGGUCCUGCUUGACUAAUUCGACAUUGCUACCACAGGAUGAGCUCCUGAACCAUGAGUUCGACAUUGAUCUGGACCUGAUAAGGGAGAUGCUAAGCCAAAAUCAUGUAGGGUGCAGAGCUGACUGGGCAAAAAUGGUAUGUUGUCCUAUCUUUAUCACUUCUUACUUCGCAUAUUCCUUAUCACGUCAUGUUCCACUCCUGUGCAAAAAUGAUUCUACUGAAAGAAAUUCCACUCCUAUGCAGUUUAUGUUCCCUGUGUGGCUUGCACGUACCUGGUCUCUCUAUGUGCUUGACAUAGAUCAUAAGAAAAUCUUGGUGAUGGACCCUAUGGAGACCAUGAGCGGUAACAUGAAGCUGAAGCAUGAGGAGAGUGCGAAAUUGUUUCUUAAAGGGUUCUGCUGGUGUGUAAACAAUAUCUACCAUGGCGGUUUGGUUGGAUCCCUUGGUUGGACCUUCAGUUACAAGACUGGAAUGCAUCCUCCAUGCUCGAGGUAAAGCCCGGACGUAUAAACCCCUAUACGAUCACUAACAGAUCGUUUUAUGUCGCAUACAAAACUUAAAUUCUGACUAUGUCUUACACAGGGAAAACAGUGGGAUAUACAUAGUGCACUACCUCAGGGAUUACAACGGCCUUUACAUCCGUACACUGACUAAUGUAAGCAUAUGUCUUUGCAUAAAUCAAAGACACACACACAUCGACAAGGAUUAAUAUGAACUGUUUGGUUGAAAUGCAUAGGGAGAGCUGGAGUACUUGAGGAAGAAGCUGGCCUACGAGAUAGUUGCGAUGAGAGGCAACAAGGGUGACUUCCCCGACUUCAUGUACCUGGAGAUCCUUGAGUGAAUGCUGACAGGGAAUCGUGCAACUGCGUCAACAAUCCUUUUGGUGAAGAAGUAGACCAUGAACGACCUUUUGGGAGGCAAAAAGGACUACAUCCAAGAGCCAGGCAAAUAGGCGUGCAUUUCAUCUGCCGUAGGCUGAACUACCGUACUGCUUUAAUAUCUAUUUUAUGUUGAACUAAGUACGAAGUGUGACCCCAUCGGAUCUGUGGGGGGCUACCUUAUAAAUCCAGUUCUAGUUGUACGUUGAACUUAAGUCUGUAGUGUCCGUGAACCAAUAUCGCCUGGGAGUGAACUAAUGUGUGGGCUUCUAUUAGCGUAUAUGAAAGUCCUUAAAGCGAAAACGACUACUUCCAUCUGCCAUGGGCUGACCUAUUUAGAACUGAGUAUUAACUGUGCUGCUUUCUGGGCUGGGGAAUCGGGGCUAGCUUAAAGAUACAUUCGAAGUUAAAAGUGAACCAAUAGCGCACGGGGGGUGGACCACCUGUCUACGUAGGCAAGAAAAAUUCAUGAUUACUCAGCUAUUUUGUGUGAAUGGUGUUACUAAUUGCUAAUCGCAAACACUCAUGGGGCUACCAUCUGGUCAGUUUAGAGAAGAAAGAGAGUCGAAGCUGCUUUGAGACAGUAUGACUGCCCGCCCUACAUUUACCAUAGACAAAUGGGAUUAAUUUUAAUUCUCACUUGCAGCGGAAAACGGAAAAAAUGGUUCCUCCCUAGGUUAUAUUUCUUUGGCACAUGAUAACCCAUGCAAACAAAAAAAGGUUCUCAGGGAAAACACCACAAUCAGUUGUGGCCAUUCGUACUAAGACGUGAUCACUUCUCAUGAAUAAAAAGGACCCACACGAAUGGUCAAUUACUGCUAAAAAUAGCAUACAUAAGGGAUGUCAGGUUUCAUACUCCAUUUAACGAAAUGGUGUUGUUCCAGGGUCAUGUUGGAGUGAUACAGAAGCACGUAUGGCAAACAUAUCAUUUCAGCAUAAAAUGCGAUAUACCCCCAACACACAACCCCCGCCGCGUCCCCAAACUAAACAAGAUGUGCCCCGCAUCCACUAGGUCUCGGAGUAGGAGCCGAAGCAUGAAUCACUGGGAGCUAGUGCUGCCCACAAUGCAUCUCCAGCUUUGGAUGUCUGGUUUCCCUGAAGCUUCAAGCACUCAAACAGAGCUUGCUUCUUGGUUUUUGCUAGGUUGGGCUGUGCAAUGAGAUUGGUCCAGCGUGAGGCGGUCGGUUCAUCCACAAAGUCACUUCAUUUGCAUUAAUUAACAAAAAGAAAAAAAUCCUAACAUCUUCAUAUCAGGUUACCUUCGUUAGUGGCAGCAUCAUCUUUCUGCCAUCAUAGUGCCGUGCAAUGUGAACUACGGCAAUUCCAGAUUCCUCCCUGAUAAAAUAUAAUAAAAACAGAAGAAAACAUCAUUAGUGUUAGUUUUCACAGUACAUCGCUCGUAUGGUAUGAUAGAAAAAAAGACAUGCUUACUUGCAGAAAUUGGUGUCCGUGAGAGCAGGGAAGACAGUUCUCCAAUUGUCUUCCACGACAGGCCACCCAGCAUAAUACUCAUUCAGGCAGUUGAAUAAAGCAUUGUGAAGCUUCCGUUCUACCAACUCCUGACGUACCUUCACUACUGGGUUGGUGCUGUGGCGCUGAACAAGAGGGUCAAGUACAUGGAUAAUCUUGGCAAUCAUGUCCCACAUCAUGAGUAACCACCCAUCUUGUAAUGGCACCGGCAACAGAAACUUCGGUUCGGAUGACAAACCAGCAGCAAAAUAUAAGACAAUAGUUAGCACAGACCAGCAAAACAUAGAACUUCGUCUGCCGGGGUAAACUAGAUAAAGACUAUAUUCAUUCAUGUACCAUUUGAGCUGUCGUGAUAUCAUACGGGUGGCAUUCACCAGUUAGCUGUUUCUGAAUGGAAAUCGAGUACGUGUAGUCAUGAUAGGAUAGCGCAAGGGUUUGCAAAAAAGAGUGAAAAAAUGAAUAGAAGUAACUCCAUUAAGAUAACCAUAGACUAGUAACUACGACGCGGACCACCGCGCUUCGUAUGUAAUUUACCGAUAAAUCUGCUUCAAGGCUGUGCCGCCAACUGAGAUAUGGGGAAUCCCGAUUACAUUCUGCAUGUGCUUGCAUAAACCGCCGGAGGAUAAUACACAUUAGCUCAUGGUCUAGCAACCUUUCCCCCACGAGCUGCUGCUUUAGUGCUAGACCAGUAACUCUAAUGUACCGUGGAGAAUCAUGGAUGAUGAACAAACUGAAAAAAAUGUCACAACUACAUAUAAGUUAACAAUGUCAAGAUUCGCAACUAUCUUCACCGGAUAAAUGAAAAAUGAAAAAUAAAAGAGCACACAUGUGUCAUCUCUUACCUUGAGAGCACUCCGGGCUGCGCAUUGUUGAAGUAGUGCUCAAUUUGCUCGGCUACAUCCGGCAGUGGCGGGUACGGCACACACCCACGCCCCCACGGAUCAGUCGCGUACCCAUGUUGAAAGAUGUAUUUCUGUUUAGGCAGGGUUUUGUUGCUCUGACCAAAAACUACUGCUGUAAAAUUAGAGGGCAGGUCCGCAUACAUCUCAGCGAUUGCCCUGAAAGUGGACUUGCAGAACUCAGUGACCUCCACUACGAUCUCGUGCGGGAUAGCCAAAUCAACAUGCACUCGCUUCACUGUAUCAGCACGACACAGGGGCUGGGCGCUGCGUUUAGCACCAGCGCUGCCUUCAUCUGCUGGGGUUUUUGCUUGGAAAUGCAAAAAUGCAAAAUAAGAGGCCAGACAUCAUUGGUGGUCCAGUACGACGAGAGUAUUUGAACUACAUGAAAAACGGCAGUAUUGACUUUGCUUAAAAACUUAUUCACCUCCACACCCUGAUAGGUCCAGCCUUCGGCCAUCGAUUUUGCUUGUUACGGGGGUGCUGAACUGCUCUCGCACAUGAUUGCUCACUGAUGAUAUGAAAUAACAAAGAUUGGAGGAGCUUUAGCAACCGUACCUUCACUAGUUGAUAACCAAAAGAAAGAAAGAAAAGAAACUUGUUUUACCUGUACCUCCUAACGGACAGUCUGCAAAACCCCUGGCAGGGCAACAGACACAACGUCGGCUCAGCGAUGAGUACAGAUCAUCUGCUAACUUCAGCAUGUCUUUCAUGAUGCUCUGCCUUGCGUUUGCUAGAUGAAGCAAAGCUCUGGUAUUGUGCUUCUUCAGUAGAAGUGAUAUCUCAUCUGCAACCUGCGGAGGCAAAUGAAACGAAAUUGCUAAUGCAUCAGUCCUAACUGCUACAGAUAUCAAACAAAAAAUGGUUGCCCAAGACCCGUAGGGAAUAAAAAUUGGACAAUAAAAAAGGCAACCAGUUUCGGAUAGUGUUGACGCAAAUAAUUGCCAAGGUCCAUUGGUCCUAUGUCACCCAUUGGUGCGGAAAUAGGAACUGGUGCGCCAACGGGCGCGUCAGCGUGUUCAACACUAGGCGUCUGGACAGGUUGCGCAACAUAGGCUCCACCGCUUUUUUUGUUGUGAGAUCUAGAUGUGCUGUGUGAAGUCUUCACAUUUUUUUCCCGGCACUGACCCCACAUGUAGCACACAACUGAUGGGUCUCGUAACUGAAAAAAACAUGACAGAGCAAGAAAAUGUCGGUUAAACAUGCAACAUUCUUUUCUAUGCUACAGAAAAGGACCAAAAAGAAUUUAUAAUUGACCACUCACAGGUGCAUACGACCACGAAUUUGCCGACUUUAUUGGAUCAGUUGCCAUGAUGAUCAUAUUUCGAAGGCAAUCGGCGUCAAAAUCACUUAUACGAGGAAAUACAUCGUGCUUCUUGUUGAACGUACCAAGGUGCAGGCUAUCAAGGGUGAAAAUCUGAUGACGAUAUGCACAAAAUCAAUGAUGAAUUAAAUGCAUCCUCCAAAGUUGGCAAAAAGAUCAGAUUGCCUGUAUCAUGCAUAUUGCGGGCUGAUUCUCACCUGAUAGAAAAGAUGACAUCCUGUAAGGUUCGUGUUUAAGUUAUUCAAGAUAAUGUCCCUCUUGAGCUUCCUCACAGCAUCCAGCAAAGCGUCUAGCACAUACUGGCACCAGUUAAACUGUGCAAUGUUUUCUGUACUGGCCAGGGCUCCCCAAAAAUCAAUAGUUGCAUAGUCGUACUUCGUCUUAGGCACAAGAACAAGACCCAUCACAAAAAUAACAAAUGCAAUUUGGAAGCAGUCCUUCUCCAGCUUCGAUGAUUCUUCCGUGAUGUCCCUGAGAAGGAAUUCCUCUACUGCACGCAAACUAUGGACGCCAGUACGAUUCAUGCCAAUAGUAUUCUUGAUGAACUUUAUGGCAUCGGGGUUGAUCACGGCAUCACGACCAAUAACUUUUCGCUUCCCACAUGGAAUCCCAAACACCUUGUGCACAUCUUCAGCCUAGAACCUAAGCACCUUCGACUCUGUUAGAAAGAUAGCUCGGCGACUGACGCUAACCUUUCUCAUUAGCCAUGCACUGUACUUUAGAUUCAACUUAUGCAGAAGUGGUAACUUGAGCAUUCCUCCAAAACCAAUCUCCUCCACAAGCCACCUCUUAUAGUCAGAGAACUUCUGUAUGACCACAACUGCAUGCUUGACAGAGAUCCUUGAUGUAGCAGCCGGUGGAUCCCCAUCAUCAGCACUGAAUGUGGCUUGCACUAUGUCAGCCGGCUGCAUCUCCGCAUGCCGGUCAUCUCUGUUGGAUCCUUCCAUCGAAUCAUUCCCACAACUACCUAACUCCGACAUUGUGCCUAUAGACCAAAAAAAUCAACCAACAUAAGAACCCAAGCUGGCGACAAAAACUGGCAUGUGGAGCAGGGUUGCGAAAAAAUCUUACCUCCACCGGCGGAGGCGACGCCGCUCAGAUCCGUCUCCGUCUAGCGCGUUUCACCACUUUGUCUCGAAGAACAUCGGUAGGAACUUCGCCAAAUCUACAUUGCCCAAGCCCUUUCUGCUCCAAAGGGUGCUCGAGGCCUGGCAGCAGGAUGGGGAGUGGUGUUCUGAGGUUAGGUGAGCGGUGUCCAUAACUUAUGCAGGCCCUCCUAUGUGAUGAGUUGUAUCACACUACGGACGGUUUGGGUUGUGCAUUUAGUCACACCAGUAUGCCAGCUGCCACGUGUUGAACAUGAGGCAUGCAAUCAUGACUGUAUUAGGACUAAAAAGUGAGUAACAGGCGCGAUUACGAGAAAAUGAAACACUAGCACCCGAGAAAAUUGGGUCCUGGAGAACGAGGUGAUUCAUUGUGCGCGUGGCGAAGCAACUGAACGUCGACAACCUUAAACUUGCAAAAAUCGAAGGAGGUAAAAAAGGAACGCCAUUCUAAAAAUAUAAGCAGUUCCAGCUAGACAUUCAUAUAUCAUUAAGGGUGCAGCCGUUAAAGUGCACAACACAUUACAACUGCUGGUCGCUUACAAGACUUUGACCACAUUUUCCAAAAUACUAAAACAACAUCGAUUAGUACUAUGGGGUCGAGUACAAACACUCGAAUUCAGCAUCAGUCCUACUCCUGCAUCCAAACCACACUAGUAGGAGGGGCGUCGAGUACAAACACUCGAAUAUGGACAUUGCUUCUGUCCUACGGCAGCAUCUAAAUCCAAACCUCACUGGUACUACUAGGUUCCACACAUAACAAAUCUACUGGCUGUUUCCGCCCAGAUACACCAGCAGAACCACGCCUAAUGCGAUUAUGGUGACCAGCAGGUUGGCGCAGCCCACCAGCAGGGUUGCCGCAGCAAUGACCCCCUGCAGAUCUACCGACUUGCGCACAGCCAUCCUGCCGAUGGGUGCCCGCUGCUCCUGGGCCUGUGGGAUUGCAGGAUUCCCGGCCACGAUAGGCGCAGCACCGCCUCCGCACCCUCGACCGCGCCCUACUCCACGCCC